RNAcentral lists this transfer RNA (90 nucleotides) under Thomasclavelia ramosa. RNAcentral's name for it is "Erysipelatoclostridium ramosum tRNA-Ser". It matches the Rfam family "tRNA". Rfam says of the family: Transfer RNA (tRNA) molecules are approximately 80 nucleotides in length. Their secondary structure includes four short double-helical elements and three loops (D, anti-codon, and T loops). RNAcentral also lists the same sequence under 5 other names. The record is from RNAcentral. Lineage: Bacteria; Bacillati; Bacillota; Erysipelotrichia; Erysipelotrichales; Coprobacillaceae.
GUUGGUAUACCCAAACGGUAAAGGGGAUGGUUUGCUAAACCAUUAGUUGGUAACUACCAAGCGAGGGUUCGAAUCCCUCUGCCAACGCCA